GUGCCAGCAGCCGCUGGUAAUUCCAGCUCCAAUAGCGUAUAUUAAAGUUGUUGUGGUUAAAAAGCUCGUAGUUGAACCUUGGGCCUGGCUGGCCGGUCCGCCUCACCGCGUGCACUGGUCCGGCCGGGCCUUUCCCUCUGUGGAACCCCAUACCCUUCACUGGGCGUGGCGGGGAAACAGGACAUUUACUUUGAAAAAAUUAGAGUGCUCCAGGCAGGCCUAUGCUCGAAUACAUUAGCAUGGAAUAAUAAAAUAGGACGCGCGGUUCUAUUUUGUUGGUUUAUAGGACCGCCGUAAUGAUUAAUAGGGACAGUCGGGGGCAUCAGUAUUCAACUGUCAGAGGUGAAAUUCUUGGAUCAGUUGAAGACUAACUACUGCGAAAGCAUUUGCCAAGGAUGUUUUCAUUAAUCAGGAACGAAAGUUAGGGGAUCGAAGACGAUCAGAUACCGUCGUAGUCUUAACCAUAAACUAUGCCGACUAGGGAUCGGACGGUGUUAUUCAUGACCCGUUCGGCACCUUACGAGAAAUCAAAGUGCUUGGGCUCCAGGGGGAGUAUGGUCGCAAGGCUGAAACUUAAAGAAAUUGACGGAAGGGCACCACCAGGGGUGGAGCCUGCGGCUUAAUUUUGACUCAACACGGGGAAACUCACCAGGUCCAGACACAAUAAGGAUUGACCGAUUGAGAGCUCUUUUCUUGAUUUUGUGGGUGGUGUGCAUGGCCGUUCUUAGUUGGUGGGGGUGACUUGUCUGCUUAAUUGCGAUACGAACGAGACCUUAACCUGCUAAAUAGCCCGCAUUGCUCCGGGCAGUGCGCUG
This 815-nucleotide ribosomal RNA is filed under the name uncultured fungus. RNAcentral describes it as "SSU rRNA". It matches the Rfam family "Eukaryotic small subunit ribosomal RNA", at positions 564 to 1384 of the family's 1831-position model. Lineage: Eukaryota; Fungi. The record is from RNAcentral.